UACGUAGGUGGCAAGCGUUGUCCGGAACUAUUGGGCGUAAAGGGCUCGCAGGCGGUUUCUUAAGUCUGAUGUGAAAGCCCACGGCUUAACCGUGGAGGGUCAUUGGAAACUGGUCGACUUGAGUGCAGAAGAGGGAAGUGGAGUUCCAUGUGUAGCGGUGAAAUGCGUAGAGAUAUGGAGGAACACCAGUGGCGAAGGCGGCUUCCUGGUCUGUAACUGACACUGAGGCGCGAAAGCGUGGGGAGCAAACAGGAUUAGAUAACCGGGUAGUCCCU
Molecule: ribosomal RNA, 275 nt
Filed under: uncultured prokaryote
Description: partial 16S ribosomal RNA
Rfam family: Bacterial small subunit ribosomal RNA
Source: RNAcentral